AUGCAGGCACUUCUCUCACACACACUAAUAUUGCGCUGUAUUGAUUCUGGUUGCCAUGCCAGAUGCUCUCGCCUGCAGCAGACUCUACUUCUCAUUUUCUUCCAGACAGACACAGAGCAAGGUAGCUGCGUCUUCACCCGUCUGUCAACAUCAGAACAGACACGCUCUUUGUUUUUCCUUGGUACUGAUGAUCUGCUUGUGGGUAAUCAAGUUUGUGCAAUAACUGAUGUUCAUCUCAUUUUGUAACCCUGUUUUAAUGGUUGACAUGAAAGCAAAAUAACCUUAUUUUUGUAAAGAAACCUGAAAAGAGUAAAAAGAUGUCGGUGUACGAAACACUCAGCUGGGAGCUGACCGUUUAUCCACUCCUUGUGGACCCAACACUACUGCAACCUCUGAGGGUCAAACCACAAUGUCCAGAACUGUUUUUCACAUCGAAAUUUCAAGCAUUGUUUUUGUACAUCAUGAUGAAUAAAUAAGAUUUUAACGAACAAGUGUUUUGUUGGAGUGUGUUUCAGCCUCCAGCAGCUUCUCCUUCCUGUCAGCAACAGCUGACAAGCAGCUGGACUGAUGUUUUUGUCCUUCAUUUUUCUUCCCUGUGGAGAGGCUCACAGGUCUGCAACAGACUCAGAUUUAUCUCUGAACCAUCAGGCAGUGGUGGCAAUGCACUCAUGAAGCACCUCAUUUAGAGUUUUAUGAAACGGGUUUAGCUGAUGCUAACAUGAUGGUGUUUUUACAAAACGACCAAAGUUUAAAGACUUUUUUCAACACAAUGUCAAUAAAGAGUAAAUUAUAACAAAUAUUGACCGACAUUUUUGUUGACAAAUAACCCACCAAACAACCACCAUUGCAUGCACUUGCAGAUAAGGUCUAUAUUGAAUCCGUCAGUCUAGAACAAUUCUAGACGUUUGCUGGACGUGCAAAUCAGGUCCAUUAUUUGGACGUCUAACUAUGACCCCACUUGGAUGUCAGUAUAACGUGAAACAUGUGGACCUUGGGUUGGGUAACUGUUUUGAAGUUCAUGGGGAUGUCUAAAACGGGUGCGAAAAUACCAUCCAUCCAUUUUCUGAACCUGAUUGUUCACAUAGGGUCGUGGGCUGCCUGGUGCCUAUCUCCAGCGGUCAACGGGCAAUCAGGCGGGGUACACCCUGGACAGAGUGCCAGUCCAUCACAGGGCAACACAGAGACACACAGGACAAUCACACACUCACACCUAAGGACAAUUUAGACAGACUAAUCAACCUAACAGUCAUGUUUUUGGACUGUGGGAGGAAGCCGGAGUACCCGGAGAGAACCCACGCAUGCACAGGGAGAACAUGCAAACUCCAAGCAGAAAGAUCCCAGGCUGGGAAGCGAACCUAGGACCUUGCUACAAGGCAACAGCUCUAACCGCUGCGCAGCUGGUUCGAAAAUACCAUUAAAAAUAUUUUUGCUCAACGUUCAAAGACACAUUGUAGUGACAUCAUAUCCAGGGGUCUCAUUUUUCAAUCAUUGCGUAGAAUCUUUACUAAAACCGUACAUAAGCUCAGCAAAAAAAAUUUACUCACGCCAAGCAGGUUUCUGAUCUAUCAAACAUGGAGUACGCACAGCUGCACGCAAUCUCUGCUUCAUAAAUCGGAGACUAACGACAAUGUUUCUCAGCUGCAUUUUAGUCACAUCCCGCCCUCACC
Nothobranchius furzeri (turquoise killifish) is the source of this 1667-nucleotide long non-coding RNA. NCBI's taxonomy places the organism in Eukaryota, Metazoa, Chordata, Actinopteri, Cyprinodontiformes, Nothobranchiidae. The record is from Ensembl.